This 867-nucleotide ribosomal RNA is filed under the name Microhyla mihintalei (Mihintale red narrow-mouthed frog). RNAcentral's name for it is "partial large subunit ribosomal RNA". It matches the Rfam family "Bacterial large subunit ribosomal RNA", at positions 1110 to 2574 of the family's 2925-position model. Lineage: Eukaryota; Metazoa; Chordata; Amphibia; Anura; Microhylidae. The record is from RNAcentral.
AAGCAGCCACCUUUAAGAAAGCGUUAAAGCUUCAUUAUCUUAACCAAAAAUUCCACCACCCAAACUAAACCCUUAGACUUAUACUGAAUGACUUCAUAUUAUUAUGAAGAACUAUAUGUUAGAACUAGUAACAAGAAGUAGACCUUCUCCAAAAAUGUAAGCUUGAGCCAUAAUGAACCCCUCACUGGCAUUUAAAGUAUAAAUUCUACUAGUAGUAACUUCAACAAGAAAACCCUACUUAAUUAUACGUCAAUCUUACACCAGUACAUUCCUGGAAAGAUUAAAAGAGUGGGAAGGAACUCGGCAAAUAAUUAACCCCGCCUGUUUACCAAAAACAUCGCCUCUUGACCCCCAUAAGAGGUCCAGCCUGCCCAGUGACCAAGUUAAACGGCCGCGGUACCCUAACCGUGCAAAGGUAGCGCAAUCACUUGUUCUUUAAAUGAGGACUAGUAUGAACGGCAUCACGAGGGUUACACUGUCUCCCCACUCCACUCAGUGAAACUGAUCCCCCCGUGAAGAAGCGGGGAUAAAAAUAUAAGACGAGAAGACCCCAUGGAGCUUUAAACUCAGUAUCAUCUGCUACUACAAUAACCAAGUAACAACGCAACAAUGACAACUGGUUUUUGGUUGGGGUGACCGCGGAGUAAAACAAAACCUCCACAACGAAAGGAACUAACAACCUAAUCUAAGAGCGACAGCUCUAAGAAUCAUAUAAAUUGACUUAAUUGAUCCAAUCACUUGAUCAACGAACCAAGUUACCCUGGGGAUAACAGCGCAAUCCAUUUAAAGAGCCCAUAUCGACAAAUGGGUUUACGACCUCGAUGUUGGAUCAGGGUAUCCCAGUGGCGCAGCAGCUACUAACGGUUC